GUGGGGAAUAUUGGACAAUGGGCGAAAGCCUGAUCCAGCCAUGCCGCGUGUGUGAAGAAGGUCUUCGGAUUGUAAAGCACUUUAAGUUGGGAGGAAGGGCAGUAAGUUAAUACCUUGCUGUUUUGACGUUACCGACAGAAUAAGCACCGGCUAACUUCGUGCCAGCAGCCGCGGUAAUACGAAGGGUGCAAGCGUUAAUCGGAAUUACUGGGCGUAAAGCGCGCGUAGGUGGUUCAGUAAGUUGGAAGUGAAAUCCCCGGGCUCAACCUGGGAACUGCUUUCAAAACUGCUGAGCUAGAGUACGGUAGAGGGUGGUGGAAUUUCCUGUGUAGCGGUGAAAUGCGUAGAUAUAGGAAGGAACACCAGUGGCGAAGGCGACCACCUGGACUGAUACUGACACUGAGGUGCGAAAGCGUGGGGAGCAAACAGGAUUAGAAACCCGAGUAGUCC
Molecule: ribosomal RNA, 450 nt
Filed under: uncultured bacterium
Lineage: Bacteria
Description: partial 16S ribosomal RNA
Rfam family: Bacterial small subunit ribosomal RNA
Source: RNAcentral